GCUCCUCCCAGCGCAGCUUCAGGGUUUCCAUUCUGUUCUUAAAUGUCUUCGGGGGUAGAAGCAGAGCAGUCAUGACGUGAGCACCCCAGCAGACCCCAGGAUCUCCUACCCCGCAGUCUCCUGCCGGUCCCCAGGAGCCGGAUGGACGGGGACUCUGACUGGUCAUCCACAGGGGGCAACUUCCUGGCCAAGACAUGGGAUGAACUCGUCACGCUGCUUCCUGGCACGUACCUAAUUCUGCUUGUCAUCAGAGAGCUUGGGGCCUCCAUGUCGCUGAGGAUGGCUGUGGUGCCUUCAGGACAGCACUGCUCUUUGUUGUGAGUGUGACUUCUCGGCUCCAGCGUAGAACCCUCAUCCCACCAACACAGCCCUUUCACCCUGCUGGCAUGGACUUUGUGGCUUCCACCGCUGACCCUUGGGUCUUCCCGGCACAGAUCUGUAAAAGAGACUGGCGUGAGUCCUUCUCGUGGGCUCUGGAUUUCCAUUUGGACUCGUGGCAGGCAUUGUCCUGAGCUCUGGGUUUUUAUCUGGACUCAUGUGGGACAUUGCUGUGGGAUUUAGGCUCUUGACUAAAUAAUCUAUGUCUUUGGUGUUGCGGAUAGAUUUCCUGCAUUUUCCUGUGUUAACUCCCGAUGACCAUUAUAAAAAUAAUAGUAUAAA
This is a long non-coding RNA of Cavia porcellus (domestic guinea pig), 660 nucleotides long. RefSeq lists it as uncharacterized. The transcript has 3 exons. NCBI's taxonomy places the organism in Eukaryota, Metazoa, Chordata, Mammalia, Rodentia, Caviidae. The record is from RefSeq and is a predicted model, not a curated record.